Molecule: ribosomal RNA, 492 nt
Filed under: uncultured bacterium
Lineage: Bacteria
Description: partial 16S ribosomal RNA
Rfam family: Bacterial small subunit ribosomal RNA
Source: RNAcentral
AGUGAACGCUGGCGGUAGGCCUAACACAUGCAAGUCGAACGGCAGCACAGUAAGAGCUUGCUCUUACGGGUGGCGAGUGGCGGACGGGUGAGGAAUACAUCGGAAUCUACUUUUUCGUGGGGGAUAACGUAGGGAAACUUACGCUAAUACCGCAUACGACCUACGGGUGAAAGCAGGGGAUCUUCGGACCUUGCGCGAUUGAAUGAGCCGAUGUCGGAUUAGCUAGUUGGCGGGGUAAAGGCCCACCAAGGCGACGAUCCGUAGCUGGUCUGAGAGGAUGAUCAGCCACACUGGAACUGAGACACGGUCCAGACUCCUACGGGAGGCGGCAGUGGGGUAUAUUGGACAAUGGGCGCAAGCCUGAUCCAGCCAUACCGCGUGGGUGAAGAAGGCCUUCGGGUUGUAAAGCCCUUUUGUUGGGAAAGAAAAGCAGCAGGUUAAUACCCCGCUGUUCUGACGGUACCCAAAGAAUAAGCACCGGCUAACUUCGUG